CCCAUUGCACAUAUCUUUUUGUUGACAUGAAACUGGUGUUGUUGUAAGGUCUGAAGAACUAUUUCCAAAUGAUGCAAAUGAUCCAACUAUGUUUUGCUGUAAAUAAGAAUAUCAUCGAAAAAAAACAGCACAAAGCAUCUCAAAAACGGGCGAAAUAUAUCAUUCAUAGUGGCUUGGAAGGUGGCAAGGGUAUUUGUUAACCCAAACAACAUAACAAGGAACUCGUAAUGGCUAGAAUGAAUCCAAAAACCUCAGUCUUGACCUGAAACUGAUGGUAGCCCGAACACAAGUCAAUCUUAGAAAAAUAGGCUACCCCAUGUCAUUUAUCAAGCAACUCCUGAAUCACCACAAUAGGGUACUUAGCAGGAAUCGUGGCUCUAUUCAAUUUGCAGUAGUCCACACAAAACCUCUAACUCCCAUCUUUUUUUUCGAACAAGUAGAACUGAACUAGAGUACGGGCUAGUGCUGGGGUGUAGAAUACUAGCUGCCAACAUUUUUGAAACCAAUCAUUCUAUCUCAUCCUUUUGAUGGUGGCUUGCAAUGGAAUACCAUGGUCAGUUGCCCGAGAAGGUGGUAAAUUAUUAGAUUCAGUAAACACAGAAGAAUAUCUGGCUAAUGAUACAUUGAGUUGAUCAGUUUGAGAAGAAGAAAUAGACCAAAAAAGUUCCUCAGAUGUGCGAAGCAAGGAUGAGCAAUCCAAAAGUAGAAUACCAUACUCAGCAUCCGCCAUUUUAAUAAGAGAAUGGAAUGAAAUGGGGGAGUGGAUCAAAGAAGGAUUCCAUAUGCUAGUAAUUUCACGUCCUCCCUAUGAAAAUUUCAUAGACAUUUUCUGCCAAUUAACACAAACAUCACCUAGCAUUUCCAACCAAGAAAUACCUAAAAUUAUGUUGACGCCCACUAAUGGAAAUACAUAACAGUCAAUGGAGAUAGAAAAAUCACUUAGAAUAAUAGAAAGAGCCUUACAGAGCCCAGAAGAAGUUUCACAAUGCCCAUCCCCCAAUCACACCAUAAAAGGAGAAGUCACCUGAGUUUGCAACAGUAACCAAUUUUUCAGAAACAAAAUAAUGGCUAGCACCACUAUCCAGCAUUACAAUGACUGGAGCAUUAGCUACCAUGCCCUGUAAUUUCAUAGUCUCCCAUCGAAAAGGAAGGUCCAUUUGAGUGAAAUGGGACUUAAUUACCACUAAAGAAUCUACUGAAGGAGCAAAAAUUUCAAUAGAGCCCAAAUCCCCAAUACCUGACAAGUUAUCAUCUUUGCUAGUAAUUAGAAAACACAAGGACUUAUUAGGGCAUUGGUGCAAUGGAGAAUAUGGAAGCUUGCAGCAAAAACAGAGGCCCUUAGCAUGAAGAUCUUAGGGUUCUUGAUUUGAAUAGUGGCAAUAAUUUUUGCGCUUGAGACUCUCUGGUGGUGUUGGUGUAGUAGAA
Molecule: unclassified non-coding RNA, 1425 nt
Filed under: Hevea brasiliensis (rubber tree)
Lineage: Eukaryota; Viridiplantae; Streptophyta; Magnoliopsida; Malpighiales; Euphorbiaceae
Source: RNAcentral